UAACCGUAGGUGAACCUGCGGUUGGAUCAUUAAUGAAUUUUAUUAAAAAAUCCUUUAACAUUUUGUGAACAUGUAAUUUUUUUUUCACUUUAUAAUAAUAUUAUUGAGAUAAAAUCUCUUUAUUUUACAAAUAAUUAUAAAAACAACUUUUGGCAACGGAUCUCUUGGCUCUCGCAUCGAUGAAGAACGCAAC
Molecule: unclassified non-coding RNA, 193 nt
Filed under: plant metagenome
Description: partial contains small subunit ribosomal RNA, internal transcribed spacer 1, and 5.8S ribosomal RNA
Rfam family: 5.8S ribosomal RNA (bases 145-193)
Source: RNAcentral